Cricetulus griseus (Chinese hamster) is the source of this 3281-nucleotide non-coding RNA. Lineage: Eukaryota; Metazoa; Chordata; Mammalia; Rodentia; Cricetidae. The record is from RefSeq and is a predicted model, not a curated record.
UCUUCCUCCAGAGUAACCAUGUGAGCCCAGGAAGACAGGACGCUUGCCACUGGGAAAUUUAACUGAUUUCAGAUGAGAAUGUUAUUUUAUUCAUUAAGUCUCUAAGUUCUGCCUUCUGGACAUAACCAAAUCAACAGAAUUAACACUUCAAAUCGAUGGACUCACUAAAAGGCAACACAGUGUUUUCUUGUUCAGUCCUCCUUUGCAUCAGAUGUAAUAAGCUUGCAGGUGAUGUUGGAUGAGUGGCCCUAAAGGACUCUAAUAUUAUGACAAAUAGUGCCCUAAAGAGGAACUUAUCUGUGCCUUUUACAGACUUAUUUAUCUAGCAUUUGAAUCUGAGAUUCCCCUCACAUUAUAAGUGUUCAAGCUCAUUAUUGCUACCACAUAGCAGAAUGAAACAAACCUGAAAGCAUGAGCACUAUGAGGAGACUGUUCAAACCAGACAGACAGAAAAAUCACCGUUAUUGAAUCAUUCUAUUUAGAUAACAUAUACCAUCUCAUCCUUGUAAAUCACAGUACUUGGAAGGAGGAAGUAUGAAGAUGAUUAGUUCAAGGCUAGCAUGGCUGGGAAUGAACAACAUUUGGACAGCAUGUGAAAGCCCUUGGACCUAAUUUUUAGCAUGAUGGUGCAGGGGUGGGGGGAGAAGCUCUCUUUAGUUUAUCUUGUAAAAGGUUUGAUUUUAAUAUAAUGGUUAUUUUCAUGUAAUUAUACCUGCUUAGUGUGCAUUUAAUCAAAAUUGUUGGAUGAUGUGAAGAGAAGAGCAUUGUCCAAAGCAAUUAGAGUUCAAUGAUAGGGAAAAAAUGUUGGCUUACAAUUGCCUAGGUGCAAGUAAAAGAAUUAUUAGUAUUAAUUCCAGGAAGUGAAUUUCAAACAUAGCUGCCAUUCAUCUUGGUCUCUGAAGUUAUCUUAGAAUUAGAUAAAAAGGAAUCUGGGUUUUUGAGGGACAACAGCUGCUCUGUGUGGUUGUGACUGUGGCUGCUCCUUUGUGAUCCAUGCAUGUGCUAUGCCUCUCCUGAGUGCCUUCUCUAACUUGCUCUUGGUAUUUAGACCACACAGGCUCCAACCCUAUAAGCUGCCAAUUGGCAAUUUGCUCCUAAUGAAAUGUUUCUAUCACAAAGAGGUCAAACAAAGAUACAUUUGUCUCUGAUGUACAGCUACAUCCAAUUUAUUUCUCUACAUUUGCUGUAGAAUUUUGCUUUGUAUUAUUAAAGAGCUGUAUAUACCUUCAUCUUAUAGACAAUGGAGUCUCUCCCACAUAUCGGCCUCCCCUAGAAUACCUAACUCCAUAUUUUAUUUUCACCUCCAGGAAUUUUUAGAAGACUACACAUGAAUUCAUCAGAGAUAUAUAGAAUUAUUUUCAAUUAAUAUUUCUUGUAAAUAAAAGUGUUUAUGUUUUCAAGUUUUGUAUGAGACAUUUUAAAAAUUCAUCCUUUUUGACACAUGAUUAUGAGCUCCUUCAUUGUAAAUAUGCAUGCCAAAUAUACAAGUUUAUUAAGUAUCCUACUCAUUUAAAAUUUAGUUUGUUUGGGGGACUUUUUGUUCCUAGCUCUCAGGUGAAUAUCUUUUCACCAGAUUUUCCUAUGUACAGGUACUAACUACAGUGGGAAAACAGAUAUUGCAAAGUUAAACAUGCAUAAAUUUUGGAACUUAUUGGAUUUAAAAAAAUUCCUUUCUGUACUGGUUAGUUUUGUGUCAACUUGAUACAAGCUAAGAUCAUUAGAGAAGAAAGAGCCUUAGUUGAAGAAAUGACCCAGCUGUAAGGCACUUUCUCAACUAAUGAUCAAUGUGGGUUGAUUCAGCCCAUUGUGGAUGAUGUGAUCCCUGGGCUGGUGGUCCUGGGAUCUAUAAGAAAGCAGGCUGAGCAAGCCAGGGUAAGCAAACCAGUAAAAAGCUCCUCUCCAUGGUAUCUGUGUCAGCUUCUGCUCCAGGCUCUAUCACUGACUGAGAUCUGGUUCUGACCUCCUGCCAUGAUAGACUAUAGUAUGGAAGUAUAAGCCUAAUAAACCCUUUCCUCCUCAACUUGCUUUUUGGUCAUGGUGUUUAGUUGCAGCAAUAGAAACCCUAGCUAACACACUUUCUAAUACAAAAAGUCAAUUUAUGUGACCAACAAGAAUAUGUGCUCUCUCCUUCUCCCCAUAAUGUUGCCAAAACUUGUUUUUAACCAGGUUAUUUGCUUCCUUCGGAUUUUAUUAUUACUUAGGGAUGUUUCUUAUGUUUUCAAGGGUUUAACCUUGCCGCCUUCAGGAAUUCUUCCCUAUACUUUGCUCUACUUUAUGGUCCCUGGCUAUCCAUUUCUAUGAGGAAACACCAUGAACAAAAGCCACUUGAGAAGGAAAGAGUUCAUUUCAUCUUACAGCUCUCCAGUCAUAUUCCAUCAAUGAGAAAAAUAGAGAUAAGAACUCAAGGCAGAAACCUAGAGGAAGUAACUGAAGCCCGGGCCAUGGUUGAUCAGGAGCACUGCUAACAUUGCUUUCCUUGUCUUAUUUAGUUUAAUUUCUUAUAACACCGAGAAUCAUAAGCCCAGGAGUGCCAUCAACCCUAGUGACCUGGGCCCUGCCACAUGAGACAUCUAAAGGCAUGCCAAACAGGGUUGCUCACAGGCCAAUCUAGAGCAGGCAUGUUAUCAACUGUGGUUCAUGCGUCCAACAUGUCCAGUCAACAUAAGACUAGACAGAAUAAGAAGAGUAUAACUAAACUUUGGGCUUGCAUGACAAUGGCUGGCCAAUGCAUAUUUUGUUUUGUUUUUGUUUUGUUUUUGUUUUUUGGGUAUUUUUUGUGCCCCCUUGUUUUCUGUCUACAAAUGAAAUAUGUACUUUUGAGCAUCAAUCAUGAAAGUCAUGACAAAUAUUUACUGGUUUUUGUGGAAAAAUCUUAAAAGAACAAAAGAUAAAACAGGUUUUUGGUGGAAGAAGAUUCCAGUUUAUAUACAAACAGCCCUGAUGUAAACAGAUGAGGAAGUAGAUGUCACAAUAAAAUAUCUUUGUUUUGUGUCUUUUCACCUAGGAUACAUCUUCUCAUAUGCACUUAAAUUUCAGGUCACAGAAAGUGCUUAGAAGAACCUGCCACUUUGUCCACAUGUAGGAAUCCAUGCAAACUGCUUAUUUUUUCGGGUGAAAUGAAAUGGAAGUACAUCAGGCUUAAUCCACAUUUCAAACUUUGUAAAGAUGAAAGAUGCAUUUAUGUUUCUCUUUAUUCUUUUGUUUGACACCAUCUGCCAUGGUUAUAUUGACAUGAGUGUACUGACCUGGGAGUGAGGAGCACAAUACAAAGUGACAUUCAA